AAAAAUGGCCGAAGCGAGCGAAAACAGGGAUGAAGAAGACAGUGUGAUCAACAUUCUCAAAAACUGUAGUAUCCAAAAAACGCGACUGCAAUGGUUAGAUGGUUACUCUGAGGAAAGAACAGCAACAGGAAGGACUUUUGUGGAAUUGCCUUGUGGUCAUCGAAGGCCAGCACAUUACAUCAUCGCUUGGUUCAAGUAUUAUCUUAAACAGGUAG
Carassius carassius (crucian carp) is the source of this 215-nucleotide long non-coding RNA. RefSeq lists it as uncharacterized. NCBI's taxonomy places the organism in Eukaryota, Metazoa, Chordata, Actinopteri, Cypriniformes, Cyprinidae. The record is from RefSeq and is a predicted model, not a curated record. The transcript is spliced from 3 exons.